RNAcentral lists this ribosomal RNA (253 nucleotides) under uncultured bacterium. RNAcentral's name for it is "partial 16S ribosomal RNA". It matches the Rfam family "Bacterial small subunit ribosomal RNA", at positions 524 to 776 of the family's 1533-position model. The record is from RNAcentral.
UACGGAGGGUGCGAGCGUUGUCCGGAAUCACUGGGCGUAAAGAGCGCGCAGGCGGUCGUUCAAGUCGCGUGUGAAAGCCCCCGGCUCAACUGGGGAGGGUCACGCGAUACUGAUCGACUGGAAGGCAGGAGAGGGUAGUGGAAUUCCCGGUGUAGUGGUGAAAUGCGUAGAUAUCGAGAGGAACACCGGUGGCGAAGGCGGCGAUCUGGACGAUGACUGACGCUGAGACGCGAAAGCGUGGGGAGCAAACAGG